UACAGAGGGGGCAAGCGUUGUUCGGAAUUACUGGGCGUAAAGGGCGCGUAGGCGGCCCGCUAAGUCGAACGUGAAAUCCCCGGGCUCAAUCCGGGAACUGCGUCCGAUACUGGCGGGCUUGAAUCCGGGAGAGGGAUGCGGAAUUCCAGGUGUAGCGGUGAAAUGCGUAGAUAUCUGGAGGAACACCGGUGGUGAAGGCGGCAUCCUGGACCGAGAUUGACACUGAUGAGCGAAAGCUAGGGGAGCAAACGGG
This 253-nucleotide ribosomal RNA is filed under the name uncultured bacterium. RNAcentral's name for it is "partial 16S ribosomal RNA". It matches the Rfam family "Bacterial small subunit ribosomal RNA", at positions 524 to 776 of the family's 1533-position model. The record is from RNAcentral.